This is a long non-coding RNA of Ostrinia nubilalis (European corn borer), 1517 nucleotides long. RefSeq lists it as uncharacterized. NCBI's taxonomy places the organism in Eukaryota, Metazoa, Arthropoda, Insecta, Lepidoptera, Crambidae. The transcript has 7 exons. The record is from RefSeq and is a predicted model, not a curated record.
GCGAACUUGCUGCAAACAUGAUUUUUAUUUGAAAUUAGAUUGUCACGUCAAAUAUGACAAAUCAAGUUUGUGGCAAUAUUGCUGUAAGCUUUUUGAUUUAGGUAUGAUGUUUCAAGGCUUUUUUAAUUUUGAAGCAAGUUUGCAUUUUGCGCUAUGUUUCAAAGAUGAAGUAUCAAGUUUGUUUUUUGUUUGUUACAAACUUGCGUUAAACUGUCAUACGCAUGGAGCAAAUAAAUAAUCACUAGUGGUCAUACGCCAACGUCACUCGCCCGAAGCCAUAAAAAAGAAAACAAAAACUUCCGGUUCCGGAAGAAAAAACAGCCAAGUGUUUUGCACUUUUGCAGCAUACUCUCUUCUAAUCUGUGUUUUGCAGUGCACAAAAUCAGUGGUAGAACGUAGAACCUACAAGGUUUUUUGUUUUGCACGGUGUUUUAUUUAAUAAACGCUUCUGUUGUGCGAAUUGGACGCGUGACGUGCUGAAGAUUAAAGACUUUGCAUAAUGGAAUCAAAAAAAUUUUUUUUGUUUACAUUUUUAGAUGAAGAUGAUGCUCCUGGCAUAGUUUCAUCAAAGUGGUUAAGAUACCAACACUUGUUAUUACCCUAAUGUAUGCACUGAAGAAAUCAAAAACAAACUUGAAGAAGAUGCCUGCACCUGAAGCAACAUGGUCACAAUAUCAAAUAAAAAUACUUAAAAGUUAUGAAACUUAUGGCGAAGCACGAUUACAUUUAAAAAAAGCGGAAGAAACCUGAAAUUUGGACUCAGACGAAGCAGAAAAUGAUGUUACAAAUGAAGUGACAGUGGACAUAAUGUCUGCUGUAAAUUACCCAGUCACCUCCGGUUCUAAAGAGGCCAAGCAAACACAACUCAAAGCUGUUAACUGCCAAUCAGAGUGCAUUACAAACAAGCAAUAUGCUAUACAGCAGAGUCAUAUGAUUCAGAUUGUGUCAGACCUAGCUAACCAAAUGGCUGAAAUCAAUAGAAAAUUGGAUUUACCGUUAGCUAGGUCCGAAGAAACAUUUUCACCAACAGAUGACAAUGCAGGUCUUUCAGAACUUUUGGCAAGUCUACCAGUAAAGAUAUUGCAAGUUUUAAUAAUUUCGAUGACCAUUUAAAAAUAAACAAGAAUACAGGCAAUAAUGUCAUUUUUGUCUGGUAUUGGCGGCAGAAAUGUAAGAAGCCUUACGACUAAUAUGUUGAGACGAAUAAUUCUAGAUGAUGUAGCCGAGUUGUAUUCGUUAACUGGGAAACAGAUGAAAAAUUCGAAUAAAAAGUCAUUUAUGAGUACAGAAACCUAUAAAUUAAUCUUUCAAAUAUGUAGAAAAAUCAACGAAGAUGUAACUGAAGACAGUCUAAAAGAAAUUAUAAGUGAUUGGCUAAAUCAAGCUAAAGUUAGACUUUCAAGAAGAGCAGAAACACAAAAUAAAGAAAAAAACCAAUAGCGGCGACCAUGAAACCGAUUUUUUCUCAUUUAAAGUAAGAUAAGAUAAAAGUAUAAAUAAUAAAAAAAUAUAUGUUA